This 467-nucleotide ribosomal RNA is filed under the name uncultured bacterium. RNAcentral describes it as "bacterial SSU rRNA". It matches the Rfam family "Bacterial small subunit ribosomal RNA", at positions 28 to 493 of the family's 1533-position model. The record is from RNAcentral.
GAUGAACGCUGGCGGCGUGCUUAAUACAUGCAAGUCGAACGAAGCACCUUGGACAGAAUCCUUCGGGAGGAAGACCAUUGUGACUGAGUGGCGGACGGGUGAGUAACGCGUGGGUAACCUGCCUUGUACAGGGGGAUAACAGUUGGAAACGACUGCUAAUACCGCAUAAGCGCACAGUACCGCAUGGUACGGUGUGAAAAACUCCGGUGGUACAAGAUGGACCCGCGUCUGAUUAGCUGGUUGGUGAGGUAACGGCCCACCAAGGCGACGAUCAGUAGCCGACUUGAGAGAGUGAUCGGCCACAUUGGGACUGAGACACGGCCCAAACUCCUACGGGAGGCAGCAGUAGGGAAUAUUGCACAAUGGGGGAAACCCUGAUGCAGCGACGCCGCGUGAAGGAAGAAGUAUUUCGGUAUGUAAACUUCUAUCAGCAAGGAAGAAAAUGACGGUACUUGACUAAGAAGCCC